This 376-nucleotide unclassified non-coding RNA is filed under the name soil metagenome. Its description in RNAcentral is "partial contains 5.8S ribosomal RNA, internal transcribed spacer 2, and large subunit ribosomal RNA". The stretch from base 1 to 120 matches the Rfam family "5.8S ribosomal RNA", at positions 35 to 154 of the family's 154-position model. The record is from RNAcentral.
GAUGAAGAACGUAGCGAAAUGCGAUAAGUAAUGUGAAUUGCAGAAUUCAGUGAAUCAUCGAAUCUUUGAACGCAUCUUGCGCUCCUUGGUAUUCUGAGGAGCAUGCCUGUUUGAGUGUCAUUAAAUUCUCAACUACACUGACUUUGAAUUGGUGUGGCUUGGAUUUGGGGGGAAAAUUGUUGUGGGCUUUUUGUAUAGUCUGCUCCCCUGAAAUUGAUUAGCGGUACCUUUGUGGAACUGUCUACAGGUGUGAUAAUUAUCUACAUCUUAGACAUCUGCUGGAAUGCUGCUCUCUAAACCUUACUUGUAUUAACAAUCUUGACCUCAAAUCAGGUAGGACUACCCGCUGAACUUAAGCAUAUCAAUAAGCGGAGGA